RNAcentral lists this ribosomal RNA (215 nucleotides) under uncultured bacterium. Its description in RNAcentral is "partial 16S ribosomal RNA". It matches the Rfam family "Bacterial small subunit ribosomal RNA", at positions 524 to 735 of the family's 1533-position model. The record is from RNAcentral.
UACAGAGGGUGCGAGCGUUUAAUCGGAAUUACUGGGCGUAAAGCGUGCGUAGACGGUCAAGUAAGUCGGGUGUGAAAGCCCCGGGCUCAACCUGGGAAUUGCAUUCGAGACUGCGUGGCUAGGGUGCGGAAGAGGGAAGCGGAAUUUCCGGUGUAGCGGUGAAAUGCGUAGAUAUCGGAAGGAACACCAGUGGCGAAAAGCGGCUUCCUGGAUCC